This 696-nucleotide ribosomal RNA is filed under the name Enterococcus sp. Its description in RNAcentral is "bacterial SSU rRNA". It matches the Rfam family "Bacterial small subunit ribosomal RNA", at positions 96 to 777 of the family's 1533-position model. The record is from RNAcentral. Lineage: Bacteria; Bacillati; Bacillota; Bacilli; Lactobacillales; Enterococcaceae.
UGGCGAACGGGUGAGUAACACGUGGGUAACCUGCCCAUCAGAAGGGGAUAACACUUGGAAACAGGUGCUAAUACCGUAUAACAAUCGAAACCGCAUGGUUUCGUUUUGAAAGGCGCUUUACGGUGCCGCUGAUGGAUGGACCCGCGGUGCAUUAGCUAGUUGGUGAGGUAACGGCUCACCAAGGCCACGAUGCAUAGCCGACCUGAGAGGGUGAUCGGCCACAUUGGGACUGAGACACGGCCCAAACUCCUACGGGAGGCAGCAGUAGGGAAUCUUCGGCAAUGGACGAAAGUCUGACCGAGCAACGCCGCGUGAGUGAAGAAGGUUUUCGGAUCGUAAAACUCUGUUGUUAUGAGAAGAACAAGGGUGAGAGUAACUGUUCACCCCUUGACGGUAUCUAACCAGAAAGCCACGGCUAACUACGUGCCAGCAGCCGCGGUAAUACGUAGGUGGCAAGCGUUGUCCGGAUUUAUUGGGCGUAAAGCGAGCGCAGGCGGUUUCUUAAGUCUGAUGUGAAAGCCCCCGGCUCAACCGGGGAGGGUCAUUGGAAACUGGGAGACUUGAGUGCAGAAGAGGAGAGUGGAAUUCCAUGUGUAGCGGUGAAAUGCGUAGAUAUAUGGAGGAACACCAGUGGCGAAGGCGGCUCUCUGGUCUGUAACUGACGCUGAGGCUCGAAAGCGUGGGGAGCAAACAGGA